GGCCGACCACGAUGAGGAAACCCCAGGCGGGGACGGGGGAAGCAGCACGGGAUCCCAGCCUCAGGCCUGCCCGGACGGUGUUGGUUGGGGAUCAAGAUGAGUACACUGCAGCCGAGAACAAGAGCCCCAGAGGAACUCUUUGUCCCACAGGAGAGCAGCGGAUCCACGCAAGAGAACAUGCUUGUAUCUUUUCACGGCUCUUCUCUGAGAAAUGAAGCCACACCACGAUACAGUCAGCAAGAGGAAGCCGGGAAUGGGAGAUGGCAACAGUCCCUGUCACUGGAACGCUGGCCUCUCUGGACAAGCCACCCUUUAGGAACCCCACCCCUUAUGCCUGUGGCGGUGGCACGGUGCUGUAUCCUGCCUGGGCUCUGGCCUCUACUCUCUCCUCCCUCUGGCUCUGCCUCCCCUGUUUCUCAGGGGCCUGGAUGCCUCUCGCUCUGGCCAAAUGCCUUCAAAAAAGAUGACUUCCCAGUCCGUCAGGGAGACACUUUCUGGA
This 499-nucleotide long non-coding RNA is filed under the name Homo sapiens (human). RNAcentral's name for it is "HSALNT0352453". The record is from RNAcentral. Lineage: Eukaryota; Metazoa; Chordata; Mammalia; Primates; Hominidae.